UUUCUCUUGGAAUCUCUGUGCCUCGUCAGCUUUCUGUCCUCUCUGUGGGCAUCUCAGUCUUGAGUUUUGUGUCUGUUACUUAGUUUCUAUCUCAGCGUCAGCUUUUCUGGUCUUUCUCUGAUUCUAGCUGCUUCUGGCUCAGGGCAGCAGUCUCCUGUUGGGAAAGGAGGAGAAGUGGGGUCUGGGCAGCGGUGCCUGGUGGUCAGUGAAGCGGAUACAGACCUGAGUCCGCUCACAAGUCUCUCUGCCUAGAUGUGGUUCCUUGGGACCUAGGACCUUGGGAUUGGAUGCGGUUCCUCUGGGUGGCAGUUCUUACAGUGGACCAGCCCAGAGUCCAGCCCAGAGUCCGGUCAGCUCCCAAAAAAGGCCUGUUCUAGCUGCAGGACAGGCUGCAGCCACACAAGUCGUUUAUAUAUUCAUCAGGGUCCUCGCAGCGGAUAAGGUGCUGGCAGAAGCGCCUCCAGAACCCGCAGCGUCUGGGUCAGAGGGCUCUUCCAAGCCCAGCGGCCACGAGAAGCUCGUCUGAGGAACGGCAGGACAUUGUGGUGGCGGAAGAGCCGCUUCAACCUGUGGGUAAUCGGGAGCCAUUGAUACUUCUUGAGCAAAGAACAGGUUGCCCGAGGCCUCACUCCUGACGGCCGGCCCUGAACGUCCCUGCUGCCCCCACGACGACCUGAGUCUCCCUUUCCAAGACUCCCGCAACCCGUCACACAGAUUCCUCCAACCAAGUGCCCGUGGCCACCGACACCCGGGCCGUCCUGGCCAUCUUUGCUCUGUGCUCUGGUCCCCGGGGACGCUUUCCGUCUGUCCCCAUGUGGGACCCGUGCAAAGCGUCCUUCCCACCUACGGACACUUCACUGCCAAGAAUAAGGCCCCGGAUGAGCCAGUGGUCCAGCGGGUGCAGCCUGCCCUCUGGCGGCCCCGUGUUGUGAGGCCCUUUGCAUGUGCCCAACAGGAUAUGGCAGUUGGACUCAGUGCCCGCCAGUUCCCUGGGGUAGAGUGUAGGGCCCAAGGGCAAGCUGCCCCAAA
Molecule: long non-coding RNA, 1029 nt
Organism: Hyaena hyaena (striped hyena)
Lineage: Eukaryota; Metazoa; Chordata; Mammalia; Carnivora; Hyaenidae
Exons: 3
Source: RefSeq, a predicted model, not a curated record